RNAcentral lists this small RNA (127 nucleotides) under Marmota monax (woodchuck). Lineage: Eukaryota; Metazoa; Chordata; Mammalia; Rodentia; Sciuridae. The record is from RNAcentral.
GCCAGGUGUGGUGGCACACAUCUGUAAUCCCAGCGUCUCUGGAGGCUGAGGCAGGAGGAUCACAAGUUCAAAGCCAGCUUCAGCAGCUUAGUGAGGCCCUAAGCAACUCAGUGAGACUCUGUCUCUA